Triticum aestivum (bread wheat) is the source of this 1300-nucleotide long non-coding RNA. RefSeq lists it as uncharacterized. NCBI's taxonomy places the organism in Eukaryota, Viridiplantae, Streptophyta, Magnoliopsida, Poales, Poaceae. The transcript is spliced from 3 exons. The record is from RefSeq and is a predicted model, not a curated record.
ACACGCGCCCGCAAACCACUUCCCCUUCAUCUUUUCUCCUACUCCAUUCCCUCUUCACUUCGUUUCCUGUUCCCCUGGACCCCCUUUCUCGUCCAGCUCGCCGGGGUGCCACCGCUCACCGUUGCAACGCGAGCGGCAGGAAUCAGUGGGAUCCGCCAGCCCUCGAUUCGGAUCGGUGUCCACACCACCGGCUCCGACAUGCACACCAGCUGGAGGACGCCAUGAACCACCUUGUUUUCUGGAACCUCUUGGACCGAGGCCGCCUUCCUCGCUUUGUGACGCCACCGCGGUCAUCCUCCCCACCGAACAGCUCCAGGGACCGUGAUGUGCUCCUCUUUGUCCGCGUCUCCCCUGGACACUGACCACCAUUGCCGUUGUCUGGAGCUCGUUGCUCUGCUUUGCUCUGUCCAACCUCGCCACUAACAGCAGGGACAUCGCAUACAAUGCUCUGUACACAUUUUGGAAAUUCAUGAACAUUGAUCUUCCUCCGUUUGGUUCAUUUCCGGGGUUUCUUCCUCGUUUCAGUAGAGUCUGGCAACGAGGGGUAUUAUGAGUUUGAUACACAGCUUCUUCAGGACAUUGACCAACAAGGCAAGCAUCUUCUUGUUGACCCUAUCUUAUGUUUUACUUAUGUCGAAGGAUUAUACUACUCCCAAAGUCCCAUAUAAGGUCGUUUUCAAGCUACGUUAGAUUGAAAACCGUUCUUGUAUUAUGGGACAGCGGGAGUAUCUUGUUGUCGGUGUUGGUUACCAUCUCCUACCUUCCUUUGCAGUAUCCAUGUUUAGCUUUUUUGACAUUGCUAGGAGUUGCUUGCUGUUCAUGAUCAGCGCGUCAUCUUAAAAUGGUACAAUUAUGAUAACUUCAGACUAUAUUAACAAAAUUCAAACUAAAAGAGAUCCACGCAUACUUGCAGAAAAGAGGGUUGGGGCAAUACAAUUAUACUGGUAGAAAUAUAAAUUCAAGUGCUUGAUUGUAAUUUCAUAUGAAAUUGCAAAUUCAUGAGGUGUCACCGGAGCAAAACCUAAACACUAAACUGAAUCCUGCGACCAACGAUAAGAAUGCCGAACCAAAAAAUAAUGUAUUUCUAAUGAUAUCAGAACUUUCAUAUGACUGCAAAAUGAAAGAUAGAUAUAAUGGAUAAUUUACUGGUAAAUAUCAACUGUUUAAAAAAAAAAUCCUUGGUUAUUAGUUUCCAACUAAAUGGAAGAUACAUGACAGAAAUAUAUCAUGAAUGAAAAAACUGUAAUUAGCUAUGCUGUUGUUAUUCUAUUUUAAAGGAGAAGCAAAAGAAAAACACGGA